RNAcentral lists this ribosomal RNA (253 nucleotides) under uncultured bacterium. Its description in RNAcentral is "partial 16S ribosomal RNA". It matches the Rfam family "Bacterial small subunit ribosomal RNA", at positions 524 to 776 of the family's 1533-position model. The record is from RNAcentral.
UACGUAGGGUGCGAGCGUUAAUCGGAAUUACUGGGCGUAAAGCGUGCGCAGGCGGUAAGUUAAGUCUGAUGUGAAAGCCCCGGGCUCAACCUGGGAAUGGCAUUGGAAACUGGCUUGCUAGAGUGUGGCAGAGGGGGGUGGAAUUCCGCGUGUAGCAGUGAAAUGCAUAGAGAUGCGGAGGAACACCGAUGGCGAAGGCAGCCCCCUGGGCCGACACUGACGCUGAGGUGCGAAAGCCAGGGGAGCGAACGGG